This 13477-nucleotide long non-coding RNA is filed under the name Ananas comosus (pineapple). Its description in RNAcentral is "long non-coding RNA (ACOM_LNC013842)". Lineage: Eukaryota; Viridiplantae; Streptophyta; Magnoliopsida; Poales; Bromeliaceae. The record is from RNAcentral.
UAUUACAUAUAUCAUAUACAUAUACAUAUACAUAUACUGUACCGGAGUUCCGGUACUAUAGUCUUGUUUUCGAUCUUAGGGUGUUAAAAUUAACGAUCCACACCGUUAAAUAUGAUCUAGGGUAUAUGAAGUUCUUAGGAAUAAAAUUUUAGUUUUUUUCGACAUCGUUUACUUAGUAAAUAAAUUAUGUCAAAAUGGACGGUGGAAAUUGAAUAAUCUUUAAAAUUUGAGCGUAGGACUUUUAAAUUCAAGAUCAAGAAUGUUAACCUUAAUCUAGAUAGUUUAAACUAUUUUCUAUCAAAAUUUGAAGAAAUUUAGAUUCUUCUACACCGUUAAACUCCAAACCCGCCAUAGUAGCCAUUGAAAAUUGACAAUUUUGAAAUGGUUUGAUCAUAAAGUAAAUUAUGUCGAAAAAAUACAAAAUUUUAUUUCUAAAAACUUUAAAUACCUUAGAUCAGUUUUAACAAUGUGGAUCGUUGAUUUGAACACCCUAAGAUCGAAAACGAGACUAGUACCGGAGCCCGGUACUAUAGAUAGUAUAGGAGACUAGCUCUCUCUCUCUCUCUCUCUCUAUAUAUAUAUAUAUAUAUAUAUAUAUAUAUAUAUAUACAUACAUACAGACAUACAAACAUACACAUACACAUACACAUACACAUACAGAUAUACAUAUAUACAUGUAUAUACAUAUACAUAUAUACAUACAUAUACAUAUACAUAUAUACAUAUAUACAUAUAUAGAAUUGAGCUGGAAUACUAUCGGUAGCAAACGGGUUCCAUUGCCACCCAUUUGUUUUUGAUGAUGGAGCCUCCAAAUCGACGAUCGGUACUGUUGAAAAUGAUCUAUACCACUUGAAGUAUCUAGAAAUCAAAUUUCAUGCUUUUUCGAUAUUGUUCUCUUAUUCAUCAAGUGGGUGUAAAAAUGAACGGCUGAAAAUGAAUAUCCUCUAAAAUGUGAUGAUAGGAAUUUUGUAAUCAAGAUCGAGAGUAUAGAUCUUGUUCUAAAUAGUUUAAAGAAUUUUCUAAUCAAAAUUUAAUUAAUUUGGAUAGCUUUACACCUUUAAACGAGAAAAUGCCUCAUAUCGACUAUUAAAAUUACAAAUUUUGAAACCCUUUGAUCAUUAGGUCAAUGAUGUUGAAAAGAUUAGAAAUUUGAUUUUUAGAUACUUCAAGUGAUAUAGAAAAUGCAUAAAAAUUGUUCAAUUCUGAGACUACUCGAUCACAAGUUAAGUGAUGUCAAAAAAUUACAAAAUUUAAUUCCUAAGGUAUCGUUUGGUUCGGGGAUAAGCAAAAAGUGGCUAUUCCAGGGAUAGGUAUAAAUUGAGGUAUAUGCGGGGAUUAGAUCAAUUUUGCGUUUGGAUGAAAAUUGGGUUAUUUCUGGGAAUAAAAAAAAUAGCGUUUGGUUAGGUAAGAUGGAAUAAGAAAGAUAGUGGGUUUUAAUAAAUAAAAAAUAAUGAUAUUAUCCUCUUAUUAUAUUUGAAUUUAAAUUUUUAAAUUUUUAAUUUUAAAAUUUUAACUUUUAAAUUUCAAAAUUUGAAAUUUAAAAUCUCAAAUUUAAAAUUCAAAAUUUUAAAUUUUAAAUUUCAAACUUUAAAUUUAAGAUCAAAUUUAAAUUUAAUAAAUAUAAAAUAUCAAAUUUUAAAUUUCAAAAUUAAAAUAUCAAAAUUAAAAUUUAUAAUUUAUAAUUUAUAAUUUAUAAUUAUAAACUUUAAUUUUGAGAUUAUAAAUUAUAAAUUAUAAAUUUGUAAAUUUUAAAAUUUUAAAUUUUAAAUUUUUAAAAUUUUAAAAUAAGAAUAGGAGUGGGAACAAUUAAUAAAAAUAAUUUAUUAUAAUACAUUUAUAAUUUUUUUUAAAAUUCUACUUAAACUUAAAUUUAAUAAAAAUAAUUUAUUAUAAUAUUCAAAUAUAAUUUAUUAUAAAUUUUAUUAUAAUAUUUAAAUAUAAAUAAUAUUUAUUAAUAUAGUACAAUUAAUAAUUGUAUAAUAAAAAUAAUGUAUUAUAAUAUAUAAGAUAUUAUAAUUAUAUAAUUUAGUUUUAAUUCAAUUUAUAAUAAUUUUAAUUAAGUUUGAAAUUAAGAAUUGGAAUAGCACCAUUCCACUAAAAUGGUGGAAUAGCAAAUCCCUUGUUAUUCCGGAAUAAUCGGGAAUAGCAAGGUUUGGCCGGGAUAAAAUAUCCCGGCCAAAUUUCACCCCGUUUGGCGGAAUAGUGGGGAUAACUUUCGUUAUCCCCGCUUAUCCCCCGAACCAAACGGGGCCUAAAAGUUUUGAAUGUUCUAGAUAAACUUGAACGGUGUGGAUCGUCGAUUCGGAUGUUGUAUCAUCGAAAAUGGCUAAAUAGUACCGAGCCAGAAUACUCUUAUGAGUAUUCUUGCCCAUCUCUCUCUCUCUCUCUCUCUCUCUCUCUCUUUAUAUUUUUAUGCCUAUUAAGUGCAGUAAUGAAGUAUGCUUCAUUAUUGCAUUUCUUAAUCUUUUAAGGUUUAAAUCUCUUAACCAUAUCUUUUCGUAUGUUUCAGUAACAUUUUUAUGAUUAUUAAUGUAACCUGUUAUCAUAUAUAUAUCGAUUUUUUUUUUCUUUUAAUUAGUAUACUUGUAAAUGGACAUUUUUAUUCAUUUAGUCCUGUUUGCUGAGUAAUUCCUUCUCCUUGUAACAAACAAGUGGUUCUUAGUAAGAAAUCUCGGUAGCUGCUCUUGAGAUUGGACGUAGCAGGGGCAUGUUGCAGGAUAUUGUAAUCACCUCAGUUUCCUUUUGAGUGGAAAAAGUUGAGCUUUUUAGUAAAUGAUCUUUGAGAUUUUGUUUCCUACUGAUAGGACUGUUUGGUCUUACCUUCUUUCUAAAUAAGAAGUUGCAGCUACUAAUUAAAUAUAUUAUCUUUACCCUUGUCCCUUUUUCUUUUUAUUUCAUCGUAUUUCUUCUUAUUCUGACUGGUUUCAUCUUAAAGUUUUGAUGGUAUCAAGCCUAAACUGAUUUCCUAGGAGUGUGAGGCAAAAGUUUUGACCUAACCAAAUUCUGAUUAUUGUUCAUGAAAGCUGAUUUAUCACUAUAGAUUUAAGUGUAACUUCAGUGAAUCUGAAGUUUGAAGAUAAUUUGCUGGCAACUUGCCUGUAUGCGUACAUAAUUGGCCAUCCAAAGGAAGGAUUGGAUGUUGUAGAUCCAAAUUUCAUUACACCUAUAGUGACAGAAACUAUGAUGCCCUAUGGAUGGUGCGAGGAGGUGACAUACUGGAUGAUAUAAAGCCAGUUUGCAUAUGUUAUAUCUUUGUAUAGGUUAAUAUUUUUUUGAUCUUCGGCAAAAUAUCAUGGUUUGUUGGUUUUCACUUGGUGGUAAUGGUUCGUUCUGGUGUAGUUUUCUAAUGCUAGAAUUUUUCUGUGAUCAUUAUUUUCAUGGUAAUUUUUGUGUAAUGCAGGAACGAACACAUGGGAUCGCUUUGAGUUUCGCAUCCACAAGAGGGUGAUUGACCUCUACAGCUCUCCUGAAGUGGUGAAGCAGAUCACCUCCAUCACUAUUGAGCCUGGUGUGGAUGUUGAGGUCACCAUUGCAGAUCUCUGAAAAGCUAAUUUUCUGUAGGUGUCCUAGAUAUCAAUUAUAUGAUCCUCUAUUUGGUAAUCUUUUCUCUUAUAGUCAUUUCUUUUUAUUGAGACUCAGAUUUUAGAGCCUUAUCAUCUUUUUGUUUUUCGAAUUUAGAACCAAGUUUUUGGUUUGAGCUAUAAUAUUAUGCAGUUGUUAAAAGUGAGUUUUUACUAUGCUUUUGUGUGUUAAAAGUUGAGGCAUGACCCCUACCUCACCUUAUGAUGUCCUUAAUGGCUUCCGCUUGUCAAAGCUUCAAGUGCUGUUUGAGUAGAGUGAUUCAAAUAUGCAUUUUUUUUUUCCAUUAAGUGCUGUUUGAGUAGAGUGAUUCAAAUAUGCAUUUUUUUUUUCCAAAUAAAUUUCCCUUGAGAGCUUCACAAUCUGAAGCUGCUGCUUUUUGGGAUCACGAACUUAUUUCAGAUCAUACUGGCUAGAGGCUGUAGCAUUUUGAUUGUUGAAUGCUUUAUCUUCUGCUCCUCAAUGCUUGUCUUCUGCUUCUCGAGCAGACAACCUGUGUAUAUUCAGGGAUAUUUCCUGCCUGGUUGCUGGCUCCAAAGGAAGAACUGUUUCUUUUUUUUUUUUUGUUGUUGUCGUUGUUGUUGUUGUUGUUGUUGUUGUUGUUGUUGUGGAAGUGUUUGCUACAGAAGGUUAGGUUAAAUUUUUGCCGCAAGAGAGAGGUCUUUUACUCUGAAAAUUGUCUUGCUGUUGCAGCGCUAGAGUAAGGAAUUCAAUUUGGGACAGGAAGUGUUAAUUUUAUGGUGAAAUUGUAUGACAGUAAAAAGCUAAUAAGUGAAUUAAAAUUUUAAAAUAAAAUUUCUGUAAAAAUAUUAUUUACAAACAGUAAAAAAAUUCAAAUGACAUUAUAAAGUCACUGCAGAAAUAUUAACUUUUUUUUUUUUUUUUUUUUGCUUGAUUCUGUCAAACACACUACAGUUUUUAAAUAAAAUCAAUUUUCUAAAUUAAAAUUAAUUUUCAAAUUAAAAUUAACUAUACAAAAUUUACUUCUCUAAUAAUUAAACCAAACAGGUCCAUAGUCACAUGCAACCAGUAAUACAAGGAUUAGAAUUCUAUACUAGUGACAGGGCUUUGAUAAGAUGAAUUCAUGACACAACACUACAAAAUAACUCUGUAAUAGAAAACUUCGGCUACGAUCGUACGGUCAAAAAGCACGGUGCAAACAUUGUUUUCAUUGAUAAUAAAUUAGGUAGAUCAUGCUAAUUUAGUCAAGAUAUGAUUGUAUAGUUUCAUCAAAACAUGAAAAGGCAUAUUUUCAUUUUCUUCUACCGCAGCUCAAAUUGGCUAAAUAAUGUUGGAUAGUUCUCAAUCUAAAACAAGCCCUAAGUUAUUACUAAUUAGUAAUAAUAAGUAGGUUAGAGUAGAAUAGCAUUAUACUUAUACCACUCAAUGUAUCUAACUCAAUUGAAAAGAUUUAAUAGUUGGUAUCUAUUGUCUAAGUUCGAAAUCUAAUUAUUUUAUGUUUAUAUUUGAUUUUAAAUAAAAAAAAUAAACGAAGUGGAUCUUGUUCUCAAAAUUAAAAAAAGAAUUAUACUUAUUCUGGAAUGUGCACAAGAGUAAAAUUAGAACUGAAUCAACUGGUUCCAACAGAGUACUUAUUCUGGAAUGUGCACAAGAGUAAAAUUAGAAUUGAAUCAACUGGUUCCUACAGAGCCAUACCAAGUUAGUAUUCGCCUUUGUCCUCAAUUUUUGCGUGCAUUGGGUCCCAAAAUUCAGAAUCAAAGCGCGUUGCACCGAGUUUUAUUAAUAUUUAUAUAACUGCACAUAUCUAAACAGAUACCGAUGUAUAUAUAUAUAUAUAUAGAGUUGAGCUAGAAUACUCUCAAAAGUACCAAGAGGUUGGUAUUUUUGAAUUUUUAACCCUUAAAUGAAGAAAUGUAAGGUUGGGAUGGUGGUGGUAGGUGGUGGUAGGUGGAAUAGUGUUUGAUCCAAGAACUAUUAGUAAUCAUGGAGUAGAUCCAAGGGCUAAAAACCUAUAAGCACCAAGGGGGUAAGACUUCUAAAAGUAUUCUAGCUCAAUUCUCUCUCUCUCUCUCUCUCUCUCUCUCUCUCUAUAUAUAUAUAUAUAUAUAGAGUUCGGUUGCUACGCUAUCUAUCGAUAGCACCAAGCAUUUUGUGCUAUCAAGUUUUCUGCUGUUAGAUUAAUCUCUUUGAUUAUUUUUACCCGUUAGAUUAUACUAUUCAACCAACCACCCACUCAACCCUAGGAGGUCCAUAUCAUUCUAACCGCACAUUUCUCAAUCUAAUGGCUAAAAAAUCGAUAGUAACAAGAGUUUGGUGCUAUUGAUAGUAUUCUAAUCUAGUUCUAUAUAUAGAGUCUGGCCGCUAUGCUAUCGAUAGCACUAAGUACUUGGUGCUAUCAAGUUUUCUGCCGUAGAGUUUAGUGGUAGUCCCCUUAGGGUUGAGUGGGUGGUUGGUUGAAUAGUAUGAUCUACAGGAUGAAAUUGAUUAAAGUAUAAAUUUAACGGCUAAAAAAUUAAUAGUAAAAAAGUUCAAAUACUAUUAAUAGUAUGUCAGCUCAACUCUCCCUCCCUCUCUCUAUAUAUAGAGUAAAGCUACUAUGCUAUCGGAAGCAUAGGAGAUCUGAUGUUUUCGACUUUUUAGCCCUUAGAUCAACUAUUUUGAUCAUUUUUAACUUUUGGAUUAAUACUAUUAUCUUGUAGGGACCACUUUACCCUAAGAGUACUAUUCAAUCUUAGGAGCGGACCGCAAUCAUCCCAAACAUACAAUUCUUGAUCCAAAGGUAAAAAAAUCGAAAACAUCAAAUUCUCUAUAUUUCCAAUAGUAUAGUAGCUUUACACUAUAUAUAUAUUUGAUGGAAUUUACCAUAUACCUAUUUUGAGCUUUUGAAUCUAUUAUUAGGGAGUACACGGCUGGGGCAUGAUAGAAAUGCAACAUUUGCAAGCUGUAACUACCCAACCAAUGCUUGCUUUACUUGAAAGUGUGACUCUACUCUAAUUGGAACUCUAAUAUCGGGUUUGGGUUCGAAAACUUGGAUCCAGUGACUUAUCUUAUUCCGUUCUGAACCGAAGAUGGCUUAUUUACUUUAAAGUUUGAUAGUAGUUUUUAGGAAAAACUUCAGAAACCCCCCAUGUGGUUUCGUAGUUUCUCACUUUGCCCCCCUGUGGUUUAAAGUGUAUCAAUUUGCCCCCCUGUGGUUUCGUUUUUAUCUUUUCGGUAGCUUUUCGUUAAUAUUUCGUUAAAUUAUAUACAAAAAACUUCAGAUACCCAUCUAUAUUUAUCAAAUAUUCACUUUAGUACCCUUUAAUUUUAACUUUAUUACUAAUUUAAGGAAAAAAAAUAAUGAAAUUGAUAGGAAAAAGAGAAAAACAAAAUCACAGGAGGGCAAAUUGAUACAUUUUAAACCACAUGGGGGCAAAGUGAGAAAUUAUGAAACCACAAGGGGGUUUUUUGAAGUUUUCCCUAGUUUUUAAUAACCAACUGGAUUCAAAUACAGAUCUAUCCUAGAUGGACUCGAGCACAAUUAUUAGCCCAACUCAAUUUCUCGUGAAUUUGAUCAUUGUCUAGUUAAAACACUGACUCAAUAUCUCAUCUCGAACUAUGUGAAUAAAGUAACCAGUGGCUUUUUGGAUUUAGAUUCGAAUCCGAAACGAAUCCGACGCUUUGACACCGCUUACGCGAACGACCAAAACAAAACUGGCUUGCUUAUGCUUUGUUCUCUCUCUUAAAAACUUCAUAUAAAACAAAAAAAGGGGCUUUUACCCAUUUAUUCCUUAUUAUGAAGUUACGAAAAUACCUUUUUAAACCCUAGUUUCUAUUAGUAAAUCUAAAAAUCUGGGAACAAAUGAAAUUUUUUUGAAAAUCAAUGAGUGAAUUUUGGUAAAUUAGAAAUAAAUAUAUUAGAUAUAUUUGGAGUUGUAGAAGGAAUAUUUGAUAUUAUUCCAAAAAAAUAUAUAUCAGAGUACUUAUUUUCACUUAUACCUCUCACACAAAUACUCUCUCUCUCUCUAAUAAAUCCCAGCAGUCCUAAUCAAAAUUAAGAAACAAAUUGCCCUGGCUUAGAAAUUAGCACUUGCUUAGAAACUAAGCGACAACCAGGUGGUCCUAAUCUCCAAGAUACACCGAAAAGGCAAAAGGAAAUAUCCCAAAUCCGCAUUUUUCACCGGACACCCCGAACCUUUUUCGCUUUUUAUUUGACCUCCUCUAUCACUUCCUCUUUCUCUUUUUCUGUCUAAAUUACCUUCAAAUGAAGCCAAGAACAAUACACAUUGCUUAUAGUAAUGGGUUUUAGUUUCCCUCCCCCUUCCAACAAAGCAUAUUCCCAGUUUCACAUUACAAAAAGUAAGAAGAGAGAGAGAGAGAGAGAGAGAGAGAGAGAAAUUGGGCUACAUUACAUUUCCGUUCUUGGGUAGUAGCAGUAGCAACGAGAAACAAGAAGGGAGGAAAAAGAUAGUAAUAAUAGUAAAUUGGUGGGUUUUUCUUUAUUUACUAUUUUCUUUUUUUUUUUGGUUUAUUAAUAAUUAAUAAUAAUAAUUUUUUGGAGAAAUCUACUACUAUUAUUGUUGGACGGCUCAGAUGAAGCCCAUCAUCUCCUCCCACCUCGACGCCCCUCCUCCCAUGGCGUCGUCUUCUUCCUCCUCCUCAUCCGCCGCCGCCGCCGCGUCCUCCUCCUGCUCGGCCGGCGGCGGCGGAGGAAACCCUAAGCCCAAGCCGGAGAAACCCCCCUAUAACCACCCCUACCACCGCCUCCUCCCCCGCUGGCACCACCACCAUCACCAUGUCCCGUCUCUCUCCAAGCUCUCCAUUUGGUCCUUCUUCGCCCUCGCCCUGUUCCUGGCCCUCUUCCUCCUCUCCCCCAAACCCCACGCCCCUUCUUCGUCCUCCUCCUCCUCCUCGGCGGCCCGCGAGGAGCGCCGCCGCUCCCUCCGCGCCGCCGCCGCCGCCGGGGCCUGGGAGCGGAGCGUGCGCGCGUCGGCUGCCCCGCGGCGCGGCGCGCCGGGCGGCCUCUCGGUGCUCGUCACGGGCGCCGCGGGCUUCGUCGGGUGCCACGCCGCCGCCGCGCUGCGGCGCCGCGGCGACGGGGUCGUGGGCCUCGACUCCUUCAACGACUACUACGACCCCUCCCUCAAGCGCGCCCGCGCCGCGCUCCUGUGGCGCGCGGGGGUGUUCGUCGUGGAGGGCGACAUCAACGACGCCCCGCUCCUCCGCAAGGUGUUCGACGCCGCCCCCUUCUCCCACGUCCUCCACCUGGCCGCCCAAGCCGGGGUGCGCCACGCCCUCAAGAACCCCUCCUCCUACGUCGCCUCCAACGUCAACGGCCUCGUCUCCCUCCUCGAGGCCUGCCGCUCCGCCGAUCCCCAGCCCGCCGUCGUCUGGGCCUCCUCCUCCUCCGUCUACGGCCUCAACACCCGCACCCCCUUCUCCGAAUCCGACCGCACCGAUCGCCCCGCCUCCUUAUACGCCGCCACCAAGAAGGCCGGCGAGGAAAUUGCCCACGUUUACAAUCACAUCUACGGGCUCUCCAUCACCGGCCUCCGCUUCUUCACCGUUUACGGCCCCUGGGGCCGCCCUGACAUGGCCUACUUCUCCUUCACCCGCGACAUCCUCCGCGGCAAGCCCAUCACCGUCUUCGAGGGCCCCGGCCACGCCACCGUGGCGCGCGACUUCACCUACAUCGACGACAUUGUGCGUGGCUGCCUCGCCGCCGUCGACACCGCCGGGAAGAGCACGGGGAGCCGGGGCAAGAAGCGCGGGCCCGCCCCGCUCCGGGUCUACAACCUCGGGAACACGGCCCCCGUGCCCGUCGCGGAGCUCGUCACGAUCUUGGAGCGGCUCUUGAAGGCGAAGGCGAUAAGGAAGGUGGUGAAGAUGCCGCGGAACGGCGAUGUGCAGUUCACUCAUGCCAAUAUUAGUUUGGCGGAGAGGGAGCUCGGGUACCGGCCCACAACGAAUCUGCAUACCGGGCUCAAGAAGUUCGUGCGGUGGUAUCUCGAUUACUAUGGUAAGAAGAGUGGCAGGCACGGCGGGGCCGGCAGCAUCAGCGCAAGCUGAGGUUGCGGCACCGGCAGCUUCAUAAGGUGGUCAGGGAUAUUACUAACUCUUCCUCCCAUUCUUCUACUUGUUCUUCGAAUUAUGGAAUUCUUUUCCUCGUAUUUGAAUUUAGUUGGCUACAGUUAGUACUGGAUUGCUUGUUCCUCGCAUUUCUUAUGUUUCGUCGGGUGUAUCUAUAGUAGUGCUGCAUUGUUAGAUGAACGCGGUGGAAGAUGGAAGUGAAGAGGGGAUGUGGGUCUGGCAUCGGCAAGGGUGGUUUUUUUUUUUCCUUUUAUUUUUUCUUCCCCACGCCCCCACUCGUGAAGUUUGCAGGACAUUCAUGAUUUAGUACUAUGAAGAGGAUGAAGCACGCAUAAGGUGUCAUGUUUUUUUUAACUCUUUUUUGAUCCUUCUUAUGUUCACGGCAGCAUUAAUUGCAGGCGCUGUGUCGCGAUCUAUGUGAUGAAUAUUUAGCAUUCAUGCUGUACAUGACUAAUUCGAGAAAAACAUGCUAAUUGACGGACAUCUUGCCGUGUAAAUUUGUAAUGAGAGCCACGACCGAUGGCUUUUGGUUUUGUUGCUUCUGUUUUUAUUAGCAAAGAAGAGUUGAGGCUUUUUGGUUCUUUUGAAUGUAAGAUUUUGAGAAUUGUUAUCAAAUAAGCACUCUAAAUACUCUAGUUCCUGACAUUUGAAAUUGCUAAUGAUGAGUUUGAUGCUUUUAUAAACUCAACGCAUCGUAACCUCUAUGGAGCAAUUAUUCUAGAGCUAGAAUUGCCUGAAGAUUCACUCUCUUGACUAUAUUAGGGCUUGCAAUUUUUGUAAUUCAUCAUUUCUGGCCUUUUCUUGUGCCGCCAGACAUGUUUUUUUCUCAUUUACUUUUUUAUGGACUCUUGUCAUAGUUAUGUGAGAUGAUAUGAUUUUGUUAUUUUUUGAUGUACGAUGAGAUAUUUACUUCUGGUUCUGAAACAGAAACUUUUCCUUUAGCACUCUUACAAGUGGUCCUAAUACAAUUUAGAUUGAUUUCUUCCUAAAGUGACUUUUAAUUUGUCGAGUUGUAAAGAGUACAAUUUGAUGCCUAAAGGGAGCACGGCUGCAAAAUAAAAGUUAGUAGUGCUUGACACUUGACUCUUGUUUUAAUAAAUACAGAAGAAAGAGCAAAGGAAUUAUGUGUCCUGGGAUUAGAAGAGUACAAUUUGGUAGGGGUUAAGAAUUAAGAAACCAGUCAUAGUAUGGUAAAUAGAAAUUGAUCCCAGAUGAAACUUAGUUGAGUUCACUGUAUCAUUAGUGUGGUAAAACUGUUCUAUGAAAAUUGAGAGGAACUAGCCAGUAGACAUGAAGCUUUAGAUGAACUGCUGGUUGGCCAGGUGCUUCAAAUAGGUACAUGUUAUGUUUGAGGAUGGAUAUAUAAUAUUCUUUAAAGAUUCAGAUUGUUUUGGUUACUCUAAUUGUAAAUAAUUUUGUUUGUGCUCAAAGCUUUCAAACAUAUCUAGAACAAAUUUAGGUUAAUGGAAUUGCUUUUGUAAGGGCUUAGGCCUUUGUGAUUCCAAAAUGUUGGUUUGUUCUUCUCAAACUGUAGGAUUCACUAGGAAGUUCUAAUAGAGUUGCAGACCCAAGUAUUAUAAUUCUUCCCAUGGCAUGUUGCGUCAGCACCUUUUUUUUCUCCCAAAUUGGAUCACUGUGUGACUUUUGUGGGGAAUAUUUGUAAUUUUUGUUCAUCCUGAAGUUAGAAAGGCCCCAACAUGCUGUCCCAUCUGCUUAAUGCUCGUACUUAUUUAGAAUGUUGCUGUUAUUUUCAAACAAUCAUUUUCUCAUAAUACCAUUCUUCUUCAUCACAAUAACACAGUAUGACCAAAACUUGAGGUUUUUUUUUAUUUUUUAUUUUUUAUUUUCUAUGUUUGGAAAUAGGACAUCUUUGUGAAUUUUAAUUUAGUUCUAUUUGGGUACUUCAAUGUGUUGAGUAGUAAUAUUCACUUUCUCUGUAUUUAGAUUUCUAAUUGAUCAUUGUUGCUCAUAGGCCCUUGUGCCUUUCCUAUUAUAUCUUUAAAUACAUGAAGAAUCAUCCAUCGUCUAUGUUAUUGAGAGUUUGCUGAUGGAAAAUAAGUUUCACUUGCAUCGAAGCGAGGACAUUUUUUGACUUAUUUGAAGUUCUUGGAAAAUAAUCCAAGAUAGUGUUUUGCAACCAAAAUAUUAGGUACAAAGCAUUGCAUAAUUUCACAAUUUUGUCCAACUCUGGUUUGUGUUUUGUCCUUAUUUGCACCGUGUAAGAUGUCGCUUUCUUAUUCGAACUUUCUAACUUGUCAGCUUGCUUGAAUUUUUCUCCUCUUGCUUGAGAAAAGAACAAAGUUCCAGGUACUUAUUUUUCACAAAUUGUUUAUUUUCGUUCUGUCAUUCUCCAUAUCAGUAACCCUAUGUAAAUGCCCCAUAUUGCUUGUGGAUAGCUUUUGUUAAUUUCUGACUAUCAUUAUUAUGUUACUGCAUCUGCUUUUUAUGCCUGAACUAUUGUCAAGACUAAGACAUAUUUAGACUAAUUGUUUGGUACCUGGUAUGCUAGAAUGUAUGAUGUACUUGCUGUUCCACUGAAUCUGUUGGUUGUCUAUUGUUUAGUGAGAUUUGUUAGUGUGUUUAUACUCUAGUUGUUGUGAUACAUGAUUGAAAUUUAUGAUGGCAGUUAUUUUCAGAACUAUGAGUUUGAUUUUACCAUUAUUAUAUAAUUUAGGACAUAAGUUUAAUCCGAUCUUGAUUAUACUGCUCACGGUUUAAUUUGAAUUUGAGUUAGAACUGAUUUGAAUUUGAGUUAGCACCGGGUUCCAAUUUUAUGUUUUUAGCUAUUUUGGCGAAACCAAAUAACGAAAAUCACAAACUUUCUCGAACUAAAAUUCUAUGAGGCUAACAUGAAGAAAAGCUGAUUGAUAUUUAACCUUUGCAGAUGUUUUAUUAGAAAGCUUAUCAGAUUGAUGAUUGUUCAAUGGGAGUGUCCACUUAGUUUGUUAGAAAGCUCAUCAGAUAAAUUUAUCUGCGUACCGUAUGCUCGUCGAAACAGCAGGGAGGAAACAUAAGGAUAUUUGUCAUGAUUUACUGUGUAAUAAUGCAGGAGCGAUCGCAUGAGUGGUUCUUUUAUGGUUGUAAUUAUUUUAGCAAUUAGGUGUUCGGUUAUUCUUAAUAAAAUUAGAGUCGUGAAACUAGCUCCAUUCGAAGGCACCUCAAAACAUGAACACGCCAAUGCACACGCGCAUACGCACACAAAGCAAACAUUGCGCCUUUUUAAGCGUCCUUUUAAGAGUCCAGUAUAAGAUGUUCCAAAAUCCAAGUAUAGUAGUAGUACUUACCAGUGGAAAGAGAAGAAUGGUAGCUAGUACUUUGUAUUGAUGACUUUCUUAUGUAAGAUGUUAAGAAAUAUGACAUAGAUGAGGUCUGCCAUGACAUAGAUCUGCUGUUAUUUUCAAUUUCGUUGGUUGUCUAAAUCACUUCAUCAGUAGUUAGGUUUGUAUUUUUUCUGAAUACUUUGCAAACCAGUUAGUCUAUGAUUUCGAAUUCUUCUUUCUGAUUAAAUGUGCAUAUUUCUGACCUUAUGUUUGUUGGUUUUGUUAAAAUUUGCAUCUUCGUAUUUCCUUCGCUAAAUUGACAUUUCUUACUAGUUGCAUGGUUUUUUUUUUUCCCCUAAACACUAACAGCACAGCACACGAUGCUUAUGCUUUACUGAAAUUGGUCGCAAAGUUUUUUCUUUCGCACUUUAUCUAUUAUGUUUUUUAUUGCAAAGCUCAUUUUGUGUAGAUUAGUUUUAAGGUUCUUAAUUCCUUAUAAAAGUUGCGAGUAUGAUUUUCCUCGUACUUCUUCUUCUUUUUUCUUUUUUCUUUUUUUUUUUUGAACUUAUAUAUUAGCUGCUUUACGGACAUCUGACACUUUUUAUUAU